UUCUUGCCUUUUCAAAAGCAGACACAAUCUCUUUGCAGUCUUCUCUUGGGCUCUUUACUACUGUCACCUCACAAAUGUCAUUUUGGUGGUCACCUUCAACUGUUAGUUUGUACUUUCCGUCCUUGUCUGUUGUGCCUUCUGUUGUGAAGGUCUCAACACCAGUGCUGAUGCUCCUGCACUGCAACUUGACCGUCGCGCCUGUUGAAAGAAGGAAACAUCAAGCAAAGAAAAGAAAGCGCUCUUAGUUCUGUUCGAUAGAAAUUAAAGUUAGUUGCAUAAAUAUACUUUGUUAUGGCAAUGUAAAUGUAAGAGGUCAGAAAAGCGCUCUGAGUUCUGUUUGAUAAAACAAGAGUCACAUCUUUUCUUUCGUUAUGAGUUAUGACAAUGUGAUGCAAGAGGUCAGAAAAGCGCUCUUAGUUCUGUUCGAUAGAAAGUGAGUCAGGAGUCACAUUUACUUUGUUAUGGUAAUGUAAUGUAAGAGGUCUUAGUUCGGUUCAAUAGAAAGUGAGUCAUAUAUACUUUGUUAGGGUAAUGUAAUGUAAGAGUUCAGAAAAGCACUCUUAGUUCUGUAUCAUGACAAUCGAUAUGAUGAAUCAUAUGAAUACUGAUGAAAUGAGCCUAAAUAGAGAGAAAUGAAUACAAGAGGAGAUUCACAUAGCCUACCAAGGCCUAGCAAUCGAUUGCAUAUCCAAAUAUCGACCUAUUUAAACGUAACAUAUCAGAUACAUCAACAAUUAAAAAAAACAUCGUACCUUCAAUAAUUUCGCUUUUAUUUGUCACGAAUCGAACGCGACACGUGUCACAAUAUACCAUGCCUUCAACAUCAAAGGUCUCAGGGUGAUGACAAUUAGCAAAGUUAGCAAGGGCCACAAUGCAAAGAGCAGAGAGGAGCAUUAUAGCUUUUGCCAUUUUAAUUUGUAUGAAUUUUUAAAAAAAAAUGUUAAAAUUUAUUUUUUUCUGGAUGUGUUUUUUUUUUUCU
This 979-nucleotide long non-coding RNA is filed under the name Capsicum annuum. Its description in RNAcentral is "long non-coding RNA (CANN_LNC015058)". Lineage: Eukaryota; Viridiplantae; Streptophyta; Magnoliopsida; Solanales; Solanaceae. The record is from RNAcentral.